GGUUGGUCCGAGUGCAGUGGUGUUUACAACUAAUUGAUCACAACCAGUUACAGAUUCCUUUGUUCCUUCUCCACUCCCAUUGCUCCAACUUGAUCAGCCUUAA
This 103-nucleotide Y RNA is filed under the name Propithecus coquereli (Coquerel's sifaka). RNAcentral's name for it is "Y RNA (ENSPCOG00000006694.1)". It matches the Rfam family "Y RNA". From Rfam's summary of the family: Y RNAs are components of the Ro ribonucleoprotein particle (Ro RNP), in association with Ro60 and La proteins. The Y RNAs and Ro60 and La proteins are well conserved, but the function of the Ro RNP is not known. Lineage: Eukaryota; Metazoa; Chordata; Mammalia; Primates; Indriidae. The record is from Rfam by way of RNAcentral.